GACGAACGCUGGCGGCGUGCUCAACACAUGCAAGUCGAACGAUGAAGCCCAGCUUGCUGGGUGGAUUAGUGGCGAACGGGUGAGUAACACGUGGGCAACCUGCCCCAAACUCUGGGAUAACUCCUCGAAAGAGGUGCUAAUACCGCAUACGAACUAGACAGACAUCUCUACUAGUUGGAAAGAUUUUCGGUUUGGGAUGAGCUCGAGACCCAUCAGCUUGUUGGCGAGGUAACGGCUCACCAAGGCUACGACGGGUAACCGGCCUGAGAGCGCGACCGGGCACACAGGGACGGAGACACGGCCCAAGCUCCUACGGGGGGCAGCAGUGGGGAAUAUUGCGCAAUGGGCGAAAGCCUGGCGGAGCGACGCCGCGUGAGGGAUGAAGGUCUUCGGAUCGUAAACCUCUUUCAGUAGGGACGAAGCGAAAGUGACGGUACCUAAAGAAGAAGCACCGGCUAACUACGUGCCAGCCGCCGCAGUAA
RNAcentral lists this ribosomal RNA (482 nucleotides) under uncultured bacterium. RNAcentral describes it as "partial 16S ribosomal RNA". It matches the Rfam family "Bacterial small subunit ribosomal RNA", at positions 28 to 523 of the family's 1533-position model. The record is from RNAcentral.